GUAGGUGGCAAGCGUUGUCCGGGAAUUAUUGGGCGUAAAGCGCGCGCAGGCGGUCCUUUAAGUCUGAUGUGAAAGCCCACGGGCUCAACCGUGGAGGGUCAUUGGAAACUGGGGGACUUGAGUACAGAAGAGGAAAGCGGAAUUCCACGUGUAGCGGUGAAAUGCGUAGAGAUGUGGAGGAACACCAGUGGCGAAGGCGGCUUUCUGGUCUGUAACUGACGCUGAGGCGCGAAAGCGUGGGGAGCAAACAGGAUUAGAUACCCUGGUAGUCCACGCCGUAAACGAUGAGUGCUAAGUGUUAGGGGGUUUCCGCCCCUUAGUGCUGCAGCUAACGCAUUAAGCACUCCGCCUGGGGAGUACGGCCGCAAAGGCUG
Molecule: ribosomal RNA, 374 nt
Filed under: uncultured organism
Description: partial 16S ribosomal RNA
Rfam family: Bacterial small subunit ribosomal RNA
Source: RNAcentral